Molecule: long non-coding RNA, 1606 nt
Organism: Dalotia coriaria
Lineage: Eukaryota; Metazoa; Arthropoda; Insecta; Coleoptera; Staphylinidae
Exons: 3
Source: RefSeq, a predicted model, not a curated record
UUCGCGCACAAGGUUGCGUAUCAUUGCCGCGCGCCGGUUUUGCGCAUCUCUUGCUUUCUUAUCGUAAACUGUCGCGUGGUUGCUUGCUCGGCUACGGCAUGUGUAAUUGUUUGCAGCCAGUUUCGUGCCGGUCGCUGUUUGAUCCAGGCGUGUUUUGACCGACUCGUAUUGUUUGUUCGUAUUGUUGUUUGUAUCAUCUAGCGACUAUUUAAUUGUAACUACUAUAAUAAUGUGAUUUAUUAUUUCUGCGUUUAAUGUACAUUAUUGUACAAAAGUAGUAUAUAUUCGAUCGCGUUUCGUGUGCAUACUUAUGCAGAUAACAAGGUGUCCGUCGCUAAAUGAAUCGGAUCUAGGAUGGCCCUCAUGAAGAUUUCUUGAUCAUUAUUCUUGUCACUUGCUGUGUCCUAGUGAAUGAUGCGCAUAACAAUUCUACUAUCUUUGAUAAUCUGAUGCACUGGUAAGUUUGUAAACGUUAUUACAUCAAAAUUACAUAUUUAUCUUAAAUCGCAGGUAACGUGAGUACCGCAAUAAAAUAAAAUUGAUGCGUGCCGUCGGAGGCGACUUCGAAUAACGUGAAUUUUGCUUGCAUUUUCUUUUUAUUUCAUAAAUCUGCAGGCUCUUUAACGUAUUUUCGUAGUUUAACAAUUAAUUAUUGCGACUUAUGUAUUUGCAAAAGAUGAUUUAAAUUUCUUUCCGCGUGUGUGCUUGAGGUGCCGUCGGCGGACACGUUUUGCCUUGCUUGUGGCGUAUCUGGAGAAUUCGUCGCAAAGAAAUUUUCAAAAUUUCUAGCUCUUUAUUCUUAAAUUAAAAUGUAAUUGUAUUUUCGUUGUUUCAUCCUCUCUAAUCGUGAAUCUAAUUCCAUGCAUGGAAAAUUUUGAAUUUUCUUAUUAAAUAUAGCGAUUUUCUUCUUGUAUCACCCUAUGUAUUAAUUUUCCUUGCUCUCUAAUGUAAAACUGGCUAAAUUUGUCGUUUUCGGGUUUUUUUCUAUAUAAACUUUGUAUUUUAUUUUUAAAUUUGGAAAUUUCUUAUUUUUAACACCCUGUAUGUUUGUUUUUCUUAAUUUCCUAUUACAAAUUUUCUAAAUUUGUUGUGUGUUUUCUUCUUUGAACUAUUGAUUUUCUUUUUGUAACACCCUGUAUAUUUGUUUUCCUUAAUUUCCUAUAAAAAAACUCUAUAUUUAGUGUUUCCUAUUAUUUUAGUUCUUGAACUUGGCAUUUUCUUUUGUGAUGUAGUAAUUUUCUUUUUGUAUCACCUUGUAUAUUAGUUUUCCUAACAGCUUGUUGAAAAUCACCUUUAGUUGUAAGAUUUCUCUGUUUUGAACUUCGAAUUUUCUUUCUAUAUACAGGGUUAACGAGCUGCCUUUGUAGUGUUCAGAGUUUUUUUGUUUGCCCUUUAAAUUUUCCUUUCGUAACACCCUGUUUAUUUGUUUCCAUUUUCAAUCACCUAGAAAAUUGGCUAUUUUCUAAUUUUAUUAUUCCAGUAGAACUUUAUGAAGUAGUACUUGCUGAUAUGUGCGCGGCUAAGCAGGUCGUAAGUCCUGUUUCAAUAUGGCGACAUGUAUUUUGUUGACUUGUAAAAUCUAAACUUGUAUUCUAUUAUUAAUAAA